CAGCCUGUAGUCUAGUGGCUAAGUUGCAUAGCUGGGAACCCUGAGGUUGGUGGUUCAAGUCCCAGCCCAGCCACA
This 75-nucleotide transfer RNA is filed under the name Albula glossodonta (roundjaw bonefish). Its description in RNAcentral is "tRNA-OTHER". Lineage: Eukaryota; Metazoa; Chordata; Actinopteri; Albuliformes; Albulidae. The record is from RNAcentral.